AGUGAACGCUGGCGGUAGGCCUAACACAUGCAAGUCGAACGGCAGCGCAGGAGAGCUUGCUCUCUGGGUGGCGAGUGGCGGACGGGUGAGGAAUACAUCGGAAUCUACUCUGUCGUGGGGGAUAACGUAGGGAAACUUACGCUAAUACCGCAUACGACCUACGGGUGAAAGCAGGGGACCUUCGGGCCUUGCGCGAUUGAAUGAGCCGAUGUCGGAUUAGCCAGUUGGCGGGGUAAAGGCCCACCAAGGCGACGAUCCGUAGCUGGUCUGAGAGGAUGAUCAGCCACACUGGGACUGAGACACGGUCCAGACUCCUACGGGAGGCAGCAGUGGGGAAUAUUGGACAAUGGGCGCAAGCCUGAUCCAGCCAUACCGCGUGGGUGAAGAAGGCCUUCGGGUUGUAAAGCCCUUUUGUUGGGAAAGAAAUCCAGCUGGCUAAUACCCGGUUGGGAUGACGGUACCCAAAGAAUAAGCACCGGCUAACUUCGUGCCAGCCGCCGCGGUAA
RNAcentral lists this ribosomal RNA (506 nucleotides) under uncultured bacterium. RNAcentral's name for it is "partial 16S ribosomal RNA". It matches the Rfam family "Bacterial small subunit ribosomal RNA", at positions 29 to 523 of the family's 1533-position model. The record is from RNAcentral.